This 276-nucleotide ribosomal RNA is filed under the name uncultured Psychrobacter sp. RNAcentral's name for it is "partial 16S ribosomal RNA". It matches the Rfam family "Bacterial small subunit ribosomal RNA", at positions 1152 to 1437 of the family's 1533-position model. Lineage: Bacteria; Pseudomonadati; Pseudomonadota; Gammaproteobacteria; Moraxellales; Moraxellaceae. The record is from RNAcentral.
CCAGUGACAAACUGGAGGAAGGCGGGGACGGCGUCAAGUCAUCAUGGCCCUUACGACCAGGGCUACACACGUGCUACAAUGGUAGGUACAGAGGGCAGCUACACAGCGAUGUGAUGCGAAUCUCAAAAAGCCUAUCGUAGUCCAGAUUGGAGUCUGCAACUCGACUCCAUGAAGUAGGAAUCGCUAGUAAUCGCGGAUCAGAAUGCCGCGGUGAAUACGUUCCCGGGCCUUGUACACACCGCCCGCCGUCGACGCCUUCCUCCAGUUUGUCACUGG